This 253-nucleotide ribosomal RNA is filed under the name uncultured bacterium. RNAcentral describes it as "partial 16S ribosomal RNA". It matches the Rfam family "Bacterial small subunit ribosomal RNA", at positions 524 to 776 of the family's 1533-position model. The record is from RNAcentral.
UACGUAGGGGGCAAGCGUUGUCCGGAAUCAUUGGGCGUAAAGAGCGUGUAGGCGGCCCGGUAAGUCCGCUGUGAAAGUCCAGGGCUCAACCCUGGAAUGCCGGUGGAAACUGUCGGGCUAGAGUCCGGAAGAGGCGAGUGGAAUUCCUGAUGUAGCGGUGAAAUGCGCAGAUAUCAGGAGGAACACCAAUGGCGAAGGCAGCUCGCUGGGACGGUACUGACGCUGAGACGCGAAAGCGUGGGGAGCAAACAGG